RNAcentral lists this ribosomal RNA (521 nucleotides) under uncultured bacterium. RNAcentral describes it as "bacterial SSU rRNA". It matches the Rfam family "Bacterial small subunit ribosomal RNA", at positions 1 to 518 of the family's 1533-position model. The record is from RNAcentral.
AGGGUUCGGAGUUCUGGCGUCAGGAUGAACGCUGGCGGCGUGCCUAAUACAUGCAAGUCGAACGAGCGAAGCCCAGCUUGCUGGAUGGAGCUAGUGGCGAACGGGUGAGUAAUACGUAAGCAACCUGCCUACACGGACUGGGAUAACACCUGGAAACGGGCGCUAAUACCGGAUAGGUAACGGAAGGGCAUCCUUCUGUUAUUAAAGGUUUGAAACACAAGUAGAUGGGCUUACGGUGCAUUAGCUAGUUGGUGAGGUAACGGCCCACCAAGGCGAUGAUGCAUAGCCGGCCUGAGAGGGUGAACGGCCACAUUGGGACUGAGACACGGCCCAGACUCCUACGGGAGGCAGCAGUAGGGAAUUUUCGGCAAUGGGCGCAAGCCUGACCGAGCAACGCCGCGUGAAGUGAUGAAGGUUUUCGGAUCGUAAAGCUCUGUUGUAAGGGAAGAAUGGCGCGGAUAGACUCCGCGAUUGACGGUACCUUACCAGAAAGCCACGGCUAACUACGUGCCAGCAGCGGC